Molecule: long non-coding RNA, 1130 nt
Organism: Tripterygium wilfordii
Lineage: Eukaryota; Viridiplantae; Streptophyta; Magnoliopsida; Celastrales; Celastraceae
Exons: 6
Source: RefSeq, a predicted model, not a curated record
CUGUUUUUAAAUAGGACUUCUCCAACACAUUUCUCAGCUUCACUCCCUCAGUCCCUCUAAAUCUCUAAUUCAAUCUUCACGAGCCGAGAUCGCCAGUGCGGUUAAGCGGGAGAGAACUCAGAAUUCAUCUCCAAUGGCGUCCCUAAGAGCAGUCGAAAAUCUCCUUCAAAGCGAAAUCCAUGUCUCUCUGUCUCUCACGCAUUAUCUCCAACACAAUCUCCGCUCACUCCCUCUCUUUCGAGCCAAGAUGCAAUUACUUUCAUGCGAGAGACAGAACUCAGGAUUCAUUGCCAAUUGCGUCCUCAAGACUAUUCGAAAAUCUCUUCCGAAAACGAAUCCAUUUCUCUCCGUCUCUCACGUGUUAUCGUCUCUCUCUGCUAUUGUCUUCCCCUGCCUUAUUCUCAAAACAACCUUUUAGAACUAUUCGCGCUGUUUAAUAGCCUCCUCUCCCUCUUCCUCUUCCACCGCCAUCGCCGAAUCGAAGGAAUCAAGGAUAAUUCAUUGCCAACAAAGCCGACGAAAGGCCAAAAUCCGAGGAGCAGUGAAAUUUGAAAGAAGAUAUGGUCCAAGUCUUCAUUCAAGAAAAUUACCUUGCAAACUGGAUUUAGACAUUGUUUAAUUCACUACUUUCUGAGGACUAAAACAAUGAGGCCCUGGUAUAAGGAGGAGAUGGUCGCUACUUUAAUCAAGAAACUGGCGAAUUUUCUUUGUUCUGUUUUGUUGGUAAUUAAUUGAUUGUCAUUAAGAUGCUGUGGGAAAUUGUGGAGGCAAAAUUUUGGUUGGCAAGUCAGUCUUACCAUAAGCGAAUGUACCUUCUUUUUGUAGCUGUUGAGUGAAGGAAAUUAUGCCAAGUGCCUUCGCUGCCUGCAUUGUGCCUUUUGCUUCAGGAACUAUCCAUUUAAAGAUAUUGGCUGAUUUUAGGCAGGUUGAUCCUGUCUGUGCUGGGGCUCGCUGUUAUGAUGAGUUUAUUCUAUGCUCUCCCAGUCUGCUCUCUGGACUUGCUGAGCUUUGUAGCGGCAUAGAGAGUUUGGUAAUUGGUACUUCCCUUUCUCUGAACUUUUCUCUUUUAGGGACAAAUAUGUGAGUGCAUGCCUUUUGUUAUAAAGUUUUUCCAUGACGUGUUGAUAAAA